Long non-coding RNA from Octopus bimaculoides (California two-spot octopus), 1060 nucleotides. The record is from RefSeq and is a predicted model, not a curated record. NCBI's taxonomy places the organism in Eukaryota, Metazoa, Mollusca, Cephalopoda, Octopoda, Octopodidae.
UGACGGUAAUACCGUCACAUCAGAGUGUGGAAAAGAAACUGACGGUAAUACCGUCACAUCAGAGUGUGGAAAAGAAACUGACGGUAAUACCGUCACAUCAGAGAGUGGAACAAAUAUUGAUGGGAGCAGUGUUGUGUCUGAGUGUGAAACAAAAUCUGACAGCAAUAAUACAACAUCUGAGUGUGACACAAAUGUUGACGGGAGCAAUGCAGCAUGAAGAUUGUGUGAAACUGCAAAAUAAAAUGAAGAUACUGAAGCUUAAUAUUAAUGCCAACAACGCCAUGUAACCAAUUGUAGUUCUGUCUUUAUUGAAGAAUUCCAAGUUUAUUUAUCUUCAACUACUCUUUCAAACUCAACAGUUAACAAGGCAGACUGUAGAGCUGAUCAACCAAGCUGAAGUUUCAAAAUCCAUCUGAAUCCUUUUCAUAUAUUUUAUAUACUUGUGAAAUUUCUUUAAAAACAACAACUUUGUGUAUUGAGUAUUGAGUUUCCCCAGAGUCAGCUUUUGGUUGUGUUCUGGACUUGAACCGAGUAACAUUCUACAAGACCUACCACAAAUUAAUCGGUGUUCACAAUACAAUAUAAUCAUAAUACUACACUAUGUAAAUCCUAUGCCAUUGCUAGUUUUUUUAAUCCUCCUCUCUUUAGUGAUGCUAUUACUGAUUUUUUAAAACACUUUUCUCUUCUAUGUGAUUUUGUCCUUGUGCACAUCUUGAAGAAGCAACCUUGUUGAAACUUCUGAAUGGAGCAAUGUUUUGUUUUAUUGGAUACCAGUUCUGUGACUUAGGAAUCAGAAGCUUCUGGUAUUUCAGCAACAUACAGAGCUGAGAAUAUGGUGUGAGUGAACUGUGUACUGUGAAAUGUGAUGUGAAUGUUUUAGCAUACAGUUGUCCUGUUAAUUGUUUUUAAUUUAGAUAUACAAGGUGUGCAGUUUCGAGAGGAGGGUUAAUCAGUUACAUUGACCUCAGUACUUGACUGACAGUUUAUAUUAUGGUGGAGUUGUCAUUAUAAUAAAAUGUAUCACUUCAUAACUGAAAAUAAAAUUUAAAAAAAAAUUGUA